UACGGGGGGGGUAAGCGUUGUUCGGAAUUACUGGGCGUAAAGGGCUCGUAGGCGGCCAACUAAGUCAUACGUGAAAUCCCUCAGCUUAACUGGGGAACUGCGUGUGAUACUAGAUGGCUUGGAUUUGGGAGAGGGAUGCGGAAUUCCAGGUGUAGCGGUGAAAUGCGUAGAUAUCUGGAGGAAUACCGGUGGCGAAGGCGGCGUUCUGGACUGCAACUGACACUGAAAAACGAAAGCCAGGGGAGCAAACGGG
Molecule: ribosomal RNA, 253 nt
Filed under: uncultured bacterium
Lineage: Bacteria
Description: partial 16S ribosomal RNA
Rfam family: Bacterial small subunit ribosomal RNA
Source: RNAcentral